ACUAUUUUGGCAGAGAAGUGUAAUGGUUUUAGAAAUCAUUUAUAUAUAUAAAAUUAUUAUAUAUAUUUAGUA
RNAcentral lists this transfer RNA (72 nucleotides) under Doa sp. MJT-2014. Its description in RNAcentral is "tRNA-Leu". The record is from RNAcentral. Lineage: Eukaryota; Metazoa; Arthropoda; Insecta; Lepidoptera; Doidae.